CCCUUAGAUGUCCUGGGCCGCACGCGCGCUACACUGAGUGUCUGAGAUACGAGUCUGCCUGGUCCGGCAAGGUCUAGGUAAUCGCUAAAAGACACAUCAUGCUUGGGAUAGAUUAUUGCAAAUAUUAAUCUUGAACGAGGAAUUCCUAGUAAGCGCAAGUCAACAGCUUGCGUUUAUUACGUCCCUGCCCUUUGUACACACCGCCCGUCGCUACUACUGAUUGGAUGUUUAAGCGAGGUUCUCGAACUGCUAGCGACUUAGCUUCGGUGAGGUCGCAGUGUGGGAAGUGAACCGAGCUUUGGUGUCUAGAGGAAGUAAAAGUCGUAACA
This 329-nucleotide ribosomal RNA is filed under the name uncultured eukaryote. RNAcentral describes it as "partial 18S ribosomal RNA". It matches the Rfam family "Eukaryotic small subunit ribosomal RNA", at positions 1470 to 1796 of the family's 1831-position model. The record is from RNAcentral.